CUGCCUGGGUCAUGGGUUGGGAUGGAGGACGGGGGGGGCGUCAGGAGUGGAGAGGACGUCCCCGCCGGUGGAGAUGGACCAGGGGAGCAUUGGUUUGAAAAGAAGGCAAGAGAAGAGGAUGGAAAGAAGGAAGAAAUGAGAAGAAAGAGGCGGGAAGAAGGAAAGAGUGGAAAAGAAGAGGAGAAGGAAAAGAAGGCAGAAGAACGUAAAGGAGCGGUGAAGGGGACAGUGGUGCGAGAAGGAGUGGAAGAGGGAACGGGGACAGUGACGGAGAAGGAGGGAGGAGUGGAGGUGGGAGGGGGGGAGAGAUGGGGGACAGCCUGCCAGGCUUCCUCAAGGUCGAACACUGCCUGGGUCAUGGGUUGGGAUGGAGGACGGAGGGGCGUCAGGAGAGGAGAGGACGUCCCCGCCGGUGGAGAUGGACCAGGGGAGCAUCGGAAGUGUUCUUCCUAACCAGUCCCUCAACAGCUCUCUGACUGAGCUCCACCCUCACUGGGUCUUCAGAGGAGAGGAAGACUGAGGAUCAGUGGUGAAUUUAGCAUGAGAGAGACUUGACUAUCGUGGAUCUUCUGGGGAGCCUCAACAACAUCAUGAUGCUGACGACGCAGAGAAGAGUCUCUCCAGAUCAGAACACCUCAAGGAACACCAGCGGAAACCCACGGGGAAGAAACCUCACUGCUGCUCUGACUGUGGGAAGAGUUACUCAAGAUCUGAUUCACUAAAAGUACACCAGAGAAUUCACACAGGAGAGAAAUCUUACAACUGUGAUCAAUGUGGAAAGAGAUGCUCUUCUUCAUCAGAACUUACAAUACACCAGAGAAUCCAUACAGGAGAGAAACCUUAUAGCUGCUCUCAGUGUGGAAUGAGUUUUUCUCGAUCAUAUUCAUUGAAAUCACACCUAAGAAUUCACACAGGAGAGAAACCAUAUGGCUGUGAUCAAUGUGGGAAAAGUUUUGCUACCUCAGCUAACCUGACUGCACACAAGAGAAUACACACAGGAGAGAAGCCUUACCACUGCUCUGACUGCGGAAUGAGCUUUAUCACUUCAAGGGAACUACUCCUACACCAGAGAACACACACAGGAGAGCAACCUUAUAGCUGUGAUCAAUGUGGGAAGAGUUUUACUCAGUCAAACAACCUGAUAUCACACCAGAGAACACACACAGGACAGAAGCCUUAUAGCUGUGAUCUGUGUGGGAAAAGCUUUACUCAGUCAGGUCACCUGAAAUCACACCAGAGAACCCACACAGGAGAGAAGCCUUAUAGCUGUGAUCAGUGUGGGAAGAGAUAUUCUGAUUUAAGAGAUCUGAAUAAACAUAAUAACAUACAUCCAGAUUGUGGAAUGACUGCCAACACCAGUCCUGGGUAGUAGAACAUAGAUUGUGGAAUGACUGCCAACACCAGUCCUGGGUAGUAGAACACAGAUUGUGGAAUGAUCUCCAACACCAGACCUGGGUAGUAGAACACUGCAUCGUGAGGUUUUUAUAUAGUACUUGCGCAGAGCAUUCUAUAUUGGACAUUUAGAAAAAAGUGUGUUUGUGUUGGAGGGGUUGUUAUUCACACUCAUUAUCUUUCCUGAUUGAAGUCAACUUUAUUUUAAUCUUUAGUUUUUCCUCACCACAUGGAAUGAAUGUCAGAAUCCUCUCAAAUUACACUCCCUAGUGUCUUUUGGUCACUUCAGGGAUUUGGUGAGAUACCUGGUCACAUAGGAAUGGACGUGUUUCUCAGAACUUCUGAUGACAAAUAUGACUGUCUUGAUGAGUUGGUGAAUUCUGAUAUUCUGGUUGAUUGUGGCUAGUUUCCUGUUUGUCUCUUUGUAUUUAUCAUGCCCCCCCUUCAGUUAAUUUAACCUAGUUUAUGAUCAAAUGAUUGAAGCUACAUGACAGACCCAUUACAGUACAUCCCAUCCAUCCUCCCCAGACUAAGAUAUUUUACCAGACGUUAUAGUAUGCCUGCCAACGGGUCCUGGUCGGAGGACGCUACGUGUUGGUGGUAUGUCCUGGUCGGACGACGCUACAUGUCGAUGGUAUGCCCUGGUUGGAGGACACUGUAUGUUGGUGGUAUGCACUGGUCGGAGGACACUACAUGUUGGUGGUAUGCCCUGGUCGGAGGACACUACGUGUUGGUGGUAUGCCCUGGUCGGAGGACACUACAUGUUGGUGGUAUGCCCUGGUCGGAGGACGCUAUAUGUUGGUGGUAUGCCCUGGUCAGAGUACGCUAUGUGUUGGUGGUAUGCCCUGGUCGGAGGACACUACGUGUUGGUGGUAUGCCCUGGUCGGAGGACGCUACAUGUUGGGGGUAUGCCCUGGUCGGAGGACGCUACAUGUUGGGGGUAUGCCCUGGUCAAGGAUACCGUUCAUACAUAAAUAAAUACAUUUCAUAAAUACAGUUAAAAAAUAAACAGUUAAUAAACAGUUGAUACAGUGCCUUUGGAAAGUAUUCAGACCCCUUGAAUUUUUUUACAUUUUGUUACUUACAGCCUCAUUCUAAAAUGGAUUAAAUGAUGUUGCUUUAGUCAAAUCCUUCUACUCAGCACACAUAGUGGACUGGUGUGUGUAUGUGCUUGUAAUUGGUUUGUAAACUUUAAAUGUUUCAAAUUAUCACUUUGAAUUUGCUUUAAUCAAUGUAUGUUUCCCUCUAUGUACGUUUCAUAUAAUGUUAUAUAAUAUUCAUUAAAUGAAAACAAUGGUUGAAAGUGAAACUUUUUUCCCUGAACAGCAUUACCCACUCCAGUCAGCAGAUGGCGAUGUGCAUUUUUCAGGCGAUGCUGCCUGAGUGUGACGUAUGAUCUAGUGGACGGGACGCUUCUUCAACAGUAACAGCUAAUCGGCCACCUCAGUAGAACCGAGGUAAAGACAGUUUCAGGUUGGAUAUUUGACGGAUAUUCGCCUUUAGUUUUCCUGACUUCCACCAACUGCAGUUAGGGACUGUCAACAUAGUGACAAAUAAAAAUGUUCAAAUUUCAA
Molecule: RNA transcript, 2966 nt
Organism: Oncorhynchus nerka (sockeye salmon)
Lineage: Eukaryota; Metazoa; Chordata; Actinopteri; Salmoniformes; Salmonidae
Gene name: zinc finger protein 239-like
Exons: 4
Source: RefSeq, a predicted model, not a curated record